GAAAAGAUAGUCGCCCAAAGCGAUUUUUUUUAUAGCUGAAAUCUAGUUAAAUCAAACCUUUCAAAAGGGUAUUACAAAUCA
This 81-nucleotide non-coding RNA is filed under the name Pasteurella felis. RNAcentral's name for it is "Haemophilus felis Aggregatibacter sRNA 82". It matches the Rfam family "Aggregatibacter sRNA 82". From Rfam's summary of the family: Validated by RT-PCR, expression down-regulated during growth. Blast search using Bacterial Small Regulatory RNA Database found isrK. Lineage: Bacteria; Pseudomonadati; Pseudomonadota; Gammaproteobacteria; Pasteurellales; Pasteurellaceae. The record is from Rfam by way of RNAcentral.